Molecule: ribosomal RNA, 176 nt
Filed under: uncultured bacterium
Lineage: Bacteria
Description: partial 16S rRNA
Rfam family: Bacterial small subunit ribosomal RNA
Source: RNAcentral
CCUACGGGAGGCAGCAGUGGGGAAUAUUGCACAAUGGGCGCAAGCCUGAUCCAGCAACGCCGCGUGAGGGAUGACGGCCUUCGGGUUGUAAACCUCUUUCAGCACAGAACGAAAGCGCAAGUGACGGUAUGUGCAGAAGAAGGACCGGCCAACUACGUGCCAGCAGCCGCGGUAAU